Molecule: long non-coding RNA, 1131 nt
Filed under: Sparus aurata (gilthead seabream)
Lineage: Eukaryota; Metazoa; Chordata; Actinopteri; Spariformes; Sparidae
Description: lncRNA (ENSSAUG00010005120.1)
Source: RNAcentral
CUGACACCUCCUUGUGUUCCUCCGUUGGUUCCCAGGACGACACCUCCUUGUGUUCCUCCGUUGGUUCCCAGGACGACACCUCCCUGUAAAUUUCUGUCAGCUCCCAGGCCGACACCUUCUAGUGGUCCUCCGUCGGCUCCCAGGCCGACACCUCCCUGGGAACCUCCGUCGGCUCCCAGGCUGACACCUCCCUGUGAACGUCCAUCGGCUCCCAGGCCGACAGCCCCAAGUGAUCCUCCUUCAGUGGCCCUGACAAGGUCCAGGAGGGUUUUCCAGUUAGUGGUUUGGCACUCAGAGGGUCUCAGCCUUCAUCUCCACUGCCGGCUUCCAGGAGGUCCCAGUCUACACCCCCGGCCUCCAGAGGGCCUAGCCUUCACCGCCAGCUUCCAGAGGGUCCCAGCCUUCAUCUUCGCGACUGGCCUCCUGAAGGUCUCAGCAUUCGUCUUCACCGCCAGCUUCCUGAGGACCCUCGUCUUUGCCACUGGCCUCCAGAAGGCCUUCGCCUACGUCGUCGCCGCUGGCAUCCAGAGGGCUUCCACCUUUGCCGCCAGCCUCCAAAGAGCUCCGGCCUUCGCCUACACCGCUGGCUUCCUGAGGAUUUACGUCUUCGCCGCCGGCCUCCAGAGGGCUUUCGCCUUCGCCGGCGGAUUCCAGAGGGUCUCAGCCUUCAUCUUCGCCGCCAGCUUCCAGUGGGUCAAAGCCCAUGCCCCCGGCCUCCAGAGGGCCUUCGCCUUCACUGCCAAUCUCCAGAGGUCUUCUGACGUCACCGCACCCACCGGCUUCCAGUGGACUUCCACCUUCGCCACUGGCCUUUGCUGCCAGCCUGCAGAGGGUUUCAGCUUUCGUCUUCGCCGCCGGCUUCCAGUAGGUCCCAGCCUACGUCGACUCUUCUUUCGGUCUCCUAGGGGUCUCAGCCUUCAACCUCGCAGUCGGCCUCUGCCUCCGUCGGCUCCCAGGCCGACACCUCCCUGGGAACCUCUGUCAGCUCCCUGGCUGACACCUCCCUGUGAACCUCCAUCGGCUCCCAGGCCGACAGCCCCCAGUGAUCCUACUUCGGUGGCCCUGACGAGGUCCAGGAGGGUCUUCGCCGCCAGCUUCCUGAGGGCCCUCUUCUUCACCACUGGCCUUUAG